GACGAACGCUGGCGGCGUGCCUAAUACAUGCAAGUCGAACGAGAGCGACCGGUGCUUGCACUGGUCAAUCUAGUGGCGAACGGGUGAGUAACACGUGGGUAACCUGCCCAUCAGAGGGGGAUAACAUCCGGAAACGGAUGCUAAAACCGCAUAGGUCUUCGAACCGCAUGGUUUGAAGAGGAAAAGAGGCGCAAGCUUCUGCUGAUGGAUGGACCCGCGGUGCAUUAGCUAGUUGGUGAGGUAACGGCUCACCAAGGCCGUGAUGCAUAGCCGACCUGAGAGGGUGAUCGGCCACAUUGGGACUGAGACACGGCCCAAACUCCUACGGGAGGCAGCAGUAGGGAAUCUUCCGCAAUGGACGCAAGUCUGACGGAGCAACGCCGCGUGAGUGAAGAAGGUUUUCGGAUCGUAAAACUCUGUUGUUAGAGAAGAGCAAGUGCUAGAGUAACUGUUAGCGCCUUGACGGUAUCUAACCAGAAAGCCACGGCUAACUACGUGCCAGCAGCCGCGGUAAUACGUAGGUGGCAAGCGUUGUCCGGAUUUAUUGGGCGUAAAGCGAGCGCAGGCGGUUCCUUAAGUCUGAUGUGAAAGCCCCCGGCUCAACCGGGGAGGGUCAUUGGAAACUGGGGAACUUGAGUGCAGAAGAGGAGAGUGGAAUUCCAUGUGUAGCGGUGAAAUGCGUAGAUAUAUGGAGGAACACCAGUGGCGAAGGCGACUCUCUGGUCUGUAACUGACGCUGAGGCUCGAAAGCGUGGGUAGCAAACAGG
This 767-nucleotide ribosomal RNA is filed under the name uncultured Granulicatella sp. RNAcentral's name for it is "bacterial SSU rRNA". It matches the Rfam family "Bacterial small subunit ribosomal RNA", at positions 28 to 776 of the family's 1533-position model. The record is from RNAcentral. Lineage: Bacteria; Bacillati; Bacillota; Bacilli; Lactobacillales; Carnobacteriaceae.